Molecule: non-coding RNA, 30 nt
Filed under: Mus musculus (house mouse)
Lineage: Eukaryota; Metazoa; Chordata; Mammalia; Rodentia; Muridae
Source: RNAcentral
UUGAAGUGAACUUUUGAACCCGCUGGGCCA